This is a long non-coding RNA of Polyodon spathula (Mississippi paddlefish), 1010 nucleotides long. RefSeq lists it as uncharacterized. The record is from RefSeq and is a predicted model, not a curated record. The transcript has 2 exons. NCBI's taxonomy places the organism in Eukaryota, Metazoa, Chordata, Actinopteri, Acipenseriformes, Polyodontidae.
AGUCCUGGGGUCCAGGAUGUUAUUGUGUAACAUAUAUGUCUGCUUUCCUUCGCUUUCUGUAGGGUCAGUACCGGCCCUCUGACCUGCUGUGUCCGGAGACGUAUGUCUGGGUCCCCAUCGAGCGCUGCCUGCCCAAACUCGACCUGACCAGAUACAGCCGCUUCAAUGAGGCUCCCGAAGCAGUGGAUGUGGGCCGCAUGAAGGAUGUGGGUAAGGUGCUCGUGCUUCACAAGAGGACAGUCAUGCCUUACCUGCUGUAUGCUCGCAAGAGGACAGGCCCCAGUGACGAGGAGACAGUGCUGCAGUACGCAGGCCUGGUCGGACAGCAGUGUGCUGAGAGGAUGCUGCUGUACCGGGCCUAGAGAACCAGUCCAAAGAAGAGGAAGAGGGACUGUGCAAUCUACAGUGUGUGCAGCAGCAGCAGCAGCAGCUCAGCACCAGACCUCAAUACUCUCAUUAGAAUGAAAACAACAGUUAUGACCUGGCAUAAAAUUGUAAUGCAUACUAUGAUGUAUUUUCACAUAGACCAAGAAAACAGUAUAGGUGAUAGAAGGUUUUUUAACCAUUAGCUGUUAUUUAACCAUUUAUAUCCAUUAUACAACGCUCUUAAUAUUUGUAGUUUUUAUUUAAGUGGAAUUUGUGAUGGGGAUUCAAUUGUCUAAAGGGUGAAACUGGGAAUCCUGUUUUCUGUUUGAAGAUUGUGUAUAUAACUCCAGUAGGUAUCUCGAUGAUAAAAAGGGUUUCAGUAUGUGUUCCAGAUCAAUGUUUUUAAUGGUUACCCAAUAGGUCUUGCGUGACAUCACCACUGAAGCGAAGGUCUUGACAGGUUGGACCUCUGCGUCUUGUCCAUUUUGUAUUGAAACUAACCAGAAAGCUUUAAAUACACAACAAAACCACAAAUGACUAUUUAACAGCUUGUGUUCAAAUAUACAGAUAGCUUUUUAGUUAUGUUGAAAUUACCUGUAGUAGAUUUGCUAAAUAAAAAAAUAAAAAAUCUCUGUAUCUAUCUC